This 72-nucleotide transfer RNA is filed under the name Bavayia robusta. RNAcentral's name for it is "tRNA-Phe". Lineage: Eukaryota; Metazoa; Chordata; Lepidosauria; Squamata; Diplodactylidae. The record is from RNAcentral.
GUUGCCGUAGCUUACUCCCCACUAAAGCAUGACUCUGAAGCAGCCAAGAUGGAUACCACACUCCCGGAAACA